ACCUCGGUGGCUCCGAGGCAAGAGCGCCGGCCUACGAAUCCCCGUGUUGCGGGUUCGAAUCCCGGCCGAGGUA
RNAcentral lists this transfer RNA (73 nucleotides) under Ixodes scapularis (black-legged tick). It matches the Rfam family "tRNA". Rfam says of the family: Transfer RNA (tRNA) molecules are approximately 80 nucleotides in length. Lineage: Eukaryota; Metazoa; Arthropoda; Arachnida; Ixodida; Ixodidae. The record is from Rfam by way of RNAcentral.